UUUUUGAAUCUUUAAAGUUUUUUUGUUUUAUGGCUCUCGAUAGCCAAAUUUUAUUUAAAACAUUUAAAAAAACACUGCUAGUGUUGAUAUUUAUGCGUGGCACUGUCACGCACGGCAUGCUUUUGAGAAAAAGUGCAACAUUCGACGCAGUCUGCAGUGAUGCGAGGACCCACAGCAAUUUUGGACCAGUACGAAGAUCCUUAGGAGGCGCUGUUCGAUGGACAAAUGUGCAUGAAGACAUGCAGUAAAGCAAAAGGGGAGAUGAAGUAUUGCUCUCCAGGCCCUUUGCCAGACGCAAAAUUAACCGGGAAGUGCGUGGAUGUCGAUAUCCAUGAUUGUCCUUGCCAUCGUGGCGAUAAUUAAUUUCUUAUGCAUUUAGUAGUCGCUAAUGCUAUCCAUGCUGGCUCUUUUGCAGUUUCUAUUGCUCUUGUCAGUUUUCCGUUUAUGCUUCUGGCGCAUUAUCCAAAUCGAUUUUUUUACUUAAUUAUGUUGGUGUUUUCAUGAGAAAGUAUG
This is a long non-coding RNA of Paramacrobiotus metropolitanus, 513 nucleotides long. RefSeq lists it as uncharacterized. NCBI's taxonomy places the organism in Eukaryota, Metazoa, Tardigrada, Eutardigrada, Parachela, Macrobiotidae. The record is from RefSeq and is a predicted model, not a curated record. The transcript is spliced from 3 exons.